CAGUAGCCGCGGGAAUACGAAGGGGGCUAGCGUUGUUCGGAUUUACUGGGCGUAAAGCGCACGUAGGCGGAUCGAUCAGUCAGGGGUGAAAUCCCAGAGCUCAACUCUGGAACUGCCUUUGAUACUGUCGAUCUGGAGUAUGGAAGAGGUGAGUGGAAUUCCGAGUGUAGAGGUGAAAUUCGUAGAUAUUCGGAGGAACACCAGUGGCGAAGGCGGCUCACUGGUCCAUUACUGACGCUGAGGUGCGAAAGCGUGGGGAGCAAACAGGAUUAGAUACCCCUGUAGUCCCUGUCUCUUAUAC
RNAcentral lists this ribosomal RNA (301 nucleotides) under uncultured bacterium. Its description in RNAcentral is "partial 16S ribosomal RNA". It matches the Rfam family "Bacterial small subunit ribosomal RNA", at positions 509 to 807 of the family's 1533-position model. The record is from RNAcentral.